CGGGUAACGCACGCAAGUGUGAAACUCAAAGGAAUUGACGGGGCCCGCACAAGCGGUGGAGUAUGUGGUUUAAUUCGAAGCAACGCGAAAACCUUAUCAGGUCUUGACAUCCGAUGCAUAACCUAGAGAUAGGUGAAAUCCUUCGGGACAUCGAGACAGGUGGUGCAUGGUUGUCGUCAGCUCGUGUCGUGAGAUGUUGGGUUAAGUCCCGCAACGAGCGCAACCCUUAUCAUUAGUUGCUACGCAAGAGCACUCUAGUGAGACUGCCGUUGACAAAACGGAGGAAGGUGGGGAUGACGUCAAAUCAUCAUGCCCCUUAUGACCUGGGCUACAUACGUGCUACAAUGGUUGGUACAACGAGUUGCGAGUCGGUGACGGCGAGCUAAUCUCUUAAAGCCAAUCUCAGUUCGGAUUGUAGGCUGCAACUCGCCUACAUGAAGUCGGAAUCGCUAGUAAUCGCGGAUCAGCACGCCGCGGUGAAUACGUUCCCGGGCCUUGUACACACCGCCGGUCGACGCGGCCG
RNAcentral lists this ribosomal RNA (523 nucleotides) under uncultured bacterium. Its description in RNAcentral is "bacterial SSU rRNA". It matches the Rfam family "Bacterial small subunit ribosomal RNA", at positions 874 to 1408 of the family's 1533-position model. The record is from RNAcentral.